Molecule: non-coding RNA, 237 nt
Organism: Biomphalaria pfeifferi
Lineage: Eukaryota; Metazoa; Mollusca; Gastropoda; Planorbidae
Source: the annotation of a GenBank genome assembly
UUUUUUUUCAUAUUUUAUUAGUGUAAAAUUAUUAGCACUAAACAAAGAUGUUCAUCUUAAUAGAUCAAUAGUUCAACGAACAGUAAACAGAAACAUUAUUCUAAUACUGCAUUCAACAUACUGGCUUCCGAUCCAAAUGUAGUUCUUUGAAAGAAACAUUCUUAAGUAUGCAUGAAGUAUAUCACCACUUCUGAGGUCAUUUACUCAAGACUUAUUUUUCUCCAUUUAUUAAAUCCU